AUUCCGGUUGAUCCUGCCGGAGGCCAUUGCUAGCGAAACCAGAGCCAGCCAUGCCAGACGCGUGAGUUCAGACUCGCGGCGCCAAGCUCAGUAACACGUGGCCAAACUACCCUACAGAGACGGAUACCCUCGGGAAACUGAGGUUAACCCGUCAUACCGAUCUCAGGCUUGAAUCGCAGAGAUCACAAAACGCCCCGGCGCUGUAGGAUGUGGCUGCGGUUGAUUAGGUAGACGGUGGGGUAACGGCCCACCGUGCCCAUAAUCAGUACAGGUUGUGAGAGCAAGAACCUGGAGACGGAAUCUGAGACAAGAUUCCGGGCCCUACGGGGCGCAGCAGGCGCGAAACCUUUACACUGCACGCACGUGCGAUAAGGGGACUCCGAGUGCGAGGGCAUAUCGUCCUCGCUUUCGUGUACCGUAGGGUGGUACACCAACAAGGGCUGGGCAAGACCGGUGCCAGCCGCCGCGGUAAUACCGGCAGCCCGAGUGAUGGCCGAUCUUAUUGGGCCUAAAGCGUCCGUAGCU
This 525-nucleotide ribosomal RNA is filed under the name uncultured haloarchaeon. Its description in RNAcentral is "bacterial SSU rRNA". It matches the Rfam family "Archaeal small subunit ribosomal RNA", at positions 1 to 526 of the family's 1478-position model. The record is from RNAcentral. Lineage: Archaea; Methanobacteriati; Methanobacteriota; Halobacteria; Halobacteriales; Halobacteriaceae.